ACAGUGUCUGGUGGGUAGUUUGACUGGGGCGGUCUCCUCCCAAAGCGUAACGGAGGAGCACGAAGGUUAGCUAAUCCUGGUCGGACAUCAGGAGGUUAGUGCAAUGGCAUAAGCUAGCUUGACUGCGAGCGUGACGGCGCGAGCAGGUGCGAAAGCAGGUCAUAGUGAUCCGGUGGUUCUGAAUGGAAGGGCCAUCGCUCAACGGAUAAAAGGUACUCCGGGGAUAACAGGCUGAUACCGCCCAAGAGUUCAUAUCGACGGCGGUGUUUGGCACCUCGAUGUCGGCUCAUCACAUCCUGGGGCUGAAGUAGGUCCCAAGGGUAUGGCUGUUCGCCAUUUAAAGUGGUACGCGAGCUGGGUUUAGAACGUCGUGAGACAGUUCGGUCCCUAUCUGCCGUGGGCGCUGGAGAAUUGAGGGGGGCUGCUCCUAGUACGAGAGGACCGGAGUGGACGCAUCACUGGUGUUCGGGUUGUCAUGCCAAUGGCACUGCCCGGUAGCUAAAUGCGGAAGAGAUAAGUGCUGAAAGCAUCUAAGCACGAAACUUGCCCCGAGAUGAGUUCUCCCUGAGACUU
This 573-nucleotide ribosomal RNA is filed under the name Klebsiella pneumoniae. Its description in RNAcentral is "partial 23S ribosomal RNA". It matches the Rfam family "Bacterial large subunit ribosomal RNA", at positions 2251 to 2823 of the family's 2925-position model. Lineage: Bacteria; Pseudomonadati; Pseudomonadota; Gammaproteobacteria; Enterobacterales; Enterobacteriaceae. The record is from RNAcentral. RNAcentral also lists the same sequence under 1 other name.